This is an unclassified non-coding RNA of Ictidomys tridecemlineatus (thirteen-lined ground squirrel), 293 nucleotides long. Its record names the gene 7SK. It matches the Rfam family "7SK RNA". Rfam says of the family: 7SK was discovered as an abundant small nuclear RNA in the mid-70s but a possible function has only recently been suggested. Two independent studies have found that 7SK RNA binds the CDK9/cyclin T complex (known as elongation factor P-TEFb). NCBI's taxonomy places the organism in Eukaryota, Metazoa, Chordata, Mammalia, Rodentia, Sciuridae. The record is from Ensembl.
GGAUGUGAGGGUGAUCUGGCUGCGACAUCUGUCACCCCAUUGGUCGCUAGGGUUGAUGAGGCUGAUCUGGCUGGCUAGGCGGGUGCCCCCUUCCUCCCUCACCGCUCCUGUGCGUCCCUUGGUGGAGGAGGAACCUUCUCCCAUAGAGGAGGACCACUCUUCCGUCAAGGGUCUGUGAGUAGCUGCGCUCCCGCUAGAACCUCCAAACAAGCUCUCAGGACCCAGCCUCACCAGGGCCUUUCAUUUUCCAAAAGGAGGUCCAUUUGCAUUACUCAGAGUAAGAGCCCACAAGU